GAAAUAAACCUGAUGAGUUGUUGCUGGUUCUCUAGAGAGCAUUGUGCACGCUUGUCAUCUUUAUGUCGCCACCUGUGCACAUUUUGUAGACCUGGAUCACUCUCUGAAAUGCUAACCAGCAUUUUUAGGUUGGAGGAAUUUGACUUUGUUGUCUUUCCUUGCAUUUCUAGGUCUAUGUUCUUUUUCAUAUAAUCUUAUUGUGAUAUAAUGGACCCUAUAUAAUAUAAACCUAUACAACUUUCAGCAACGGAUCUCUUGGCUCU
This 263-nucleotide unclassified non-coding RNA is filed under the name rhizosphere metagenome. RNAcentral's name for it is "partial ribosomal RNA internal transcribed spacer region". The record is from RNAcentral.